AUACUUAACCUGGCAGUGGAGAUAUCAGGAUCAUGAAGGUGGUUUUCCCAGGAUGAAGCUCAUUCAUUGCACACAGGGUGUCCUGACCCCGUGAUUUCUCCAAAUGCAGGAAUUCAACUACAUAAUUUGUGGUAGUGGGGAACAGCAUUCAUGCUUUCCCCUG
This is a small nuclear RNA of Lemur catta (Ring-tailed lemur), 163 nucleotides long. RefSeq annotates it as U1 spliceosomal RNA. NCBI's taxonomy places the organism in Eukaryota, Metazoa, Chordata, Mammalia, Primates, Lemuridae. The record is from RefSeq and is a predicted model, not a curated record. The transcript has a single exon.